CUGGCUCAGGAUGAACGCUGGCGGCGUGCUUAACACAUGCAAGUCGAACGGAGUUUUAACGGAAGUUUCGGAUGGAAGUUUAGAAACUUAGUGGCGGACGGGUGAGUAACGCGUGGGUAACCUGCCUCAGUACAGGGGGAUAACAGUUAGAAAUGACUGCUAACACCGCAUAAUAUAGCGAAACCGCAUGAUUUUUGCUAUCAAAUAUUUAUAGGUAUGAGAUGGGCCCGCGUCUGAUUAGCUAGUUGGUGGGGUAAAAGCCUACCAAGGCGACGAUCAGUAGCCGGCUUGAGAGAGUGACCGGCCACAUUGGGACUGAGACACGGCCCAAACUCCUACGGGAGGCAGCAGUGGGGAAUAUUGGACAAUGGGGGAAACCCUGAUCCAGCGACGCCCGCGUGAGUGAAGAAGUAUUUCGGUAUGUAAAGCUCUAUCAGCAGGGAAGAUAAUGACAGUACCUGACUAAGAAGCCCCGGCUAACCACGUGCCAGCAGCUGC
Molecule: ribosomal RNA, 498 nt
Filed under: uncultured bacterium
Lineage: Bacteria
Description: bacterial SSU rRNA
Rfam family: Bacterial small subunit ribosomal RNA
Source: RNAcentral